AUACCUCUUUUAUCUUUCUCUCUCUACGUAUCUAUCUCAUCAUUCUUUCUCUCUCUCCCUCUCUCUCUUACUCUCUCUCUCUCUCUCUCUCGUUCGCUCCUAUUUUCGUGACUUCGUUCUCAGAUCUAGGGGUUACCAGACUUUUUUCUGAUGUCCUUCUUCUCUAAUUUUCAAUCGUUGCCUUGCAAUUUAAAGAUUGGAAGAAUUGUUCAACAUCUUAUAUUGAAAGGGGUGGAGAAGACGUGAUAUUGUUAAAUCUGGAAUUUCUAUUACCAAAUCGGAGAUGAAAUCGAUUAGAGCUGACAUUGAAGCUCUUACUGAAUCAUUCAAAUAAGGAGAAAAGGAUGAUGUAACGCUAGUAAGGAAACAUCAAUGAACGAGGCUGUGGGAAACAUCUUAAUUAUCAUCUUCAUCCCCCUCUUCUACAAUUACACAACCGAAACCCUUCCUAGGGAAGACGGAAGCAGAUCUUAUUGUUAUAUGGGGUGGUACUGGUGGACUCUAUUGUGCAGGAAUCUCAGCAAGAUACGGGAAACAUGUUAUAGUUCUCAAAAAACAUGAUCUACUAGGUGAUGUUGCACAUUUUUCUGAAAGCAAAUAACCUAUCCAUCUGAUACCAAUGAAGCUCCUUCUUUAUACACAAUCAUAUAGUCAACUGAUGAUAAUAGAGAAUCUAAUUUAACGAAGAGGAAAGAAAAUGGAUUUCUCUUACAGGAGAGUAGAAAAAAAAUCAACUACAAGCCAAACAAUUGCUUGCUGCAAAGCAAAAACAAGAAGUUAAAACAGAGAGAAAAUGUUCGGUAGAGCUUAAAGAAGCAAUGCAAACGGCAAUGAAGGGUUAUGCACGGAUGCUUGAAUAAUAUGUUGAUUUAGAGGAGAAACAUAUGAACAUGCUAAUAAGGAAACAAAGAAUUCAAGAUGGAAUUGAAGAUGUGAACAAAGCAGCUAGCAUUCCCCAACAAGGGUAAAAUGGUCAAAACAACACACAAGCACUCCUCAUUAGCCAUAAGAGCAACAAGCAAACUGGUUAACAUGUUUUACCCAAGACAGAUGUGCAAAAUUUCAUAUUGUGUAUUUACAACAUUAUAGUUUCUCUUUGGAAAAUACAUUAAACACCGUUGAGUAUAACAACAAGCACUCUGAUCAUUUGGAUUUCUUCCUUGUGCUUGAUUUAGAGGGAAAAGUUGAGAUUCUUCAAUUGAUGCCAAAACCAUGGAUGUUGUAGGAUUCUUUCACAGGUUUAUCAUUGUUUUUUAGGCACAAAUUUUUCAUUAUUGAUUUAUUUCUAUAAAAAUAUCUCAUUUUUUGAAACUUAUGUUAUAGAUUUGUUAGGCCUUCAUAAAUGAGUGAAGAAAGGAUCAAUGAAUACAUUGAAGGAAAGUAUGAAAAACUAGGAGUUGAUAGGUUCAUGAGAAUAAAGCAAAGAAUUAUGAACCAGAUUGGUGCAUAUCAUGCUACUUUGACUUGUUAUAGGUUUAUGAGAAGAAAGAAACAUCAGAAGGUUUGUCCAUGCUAUUUGCCCAUCUUGCAAUCCACACGUGAGUUUAUUUUUUUUGCCCUUUUGUGAUUUUAUUCUUUUAUCCUAUUACAAGUUAGUUUCCCUUUUACCUUUUUGUAGUAAAAGGUAGCUUUUAUACUAGGGAAAGUUCACAUAAUAUGACAAAAAUUCACAAGUGAUUCACAUAUGAAUUACAUGUGAUUCACAUGUAAUUCGCAUGUAAAUCACAAGUGAAUCACAUAUGAGUUACAUGUGAUUCAUAUGUAAUUUACAUAUGAAUCACAUGUAUUUCACAAGUAAAUCACAAGUGAUUCACAUAUGAAUUACAUGUGAUUCACAUAUAAAUCACAUGCGAUUCACAUAUGAAACAAAUGUGAUUCACAAGUGAAUCACAUAUGAAAUAUGAAUUACAUGUGAUUCACAUAUAAAUCACAUGUGAUUCACAUAUAAAUCACAUGCAAUUCACAAGUGAAUCACAUAUGAAUUACAGGUGAUUCACAUAUAAAUCACAUGUGAUUCACAUAUAAAUCACAUGUGAUUCACAUAUGAAACACAUGUAAUUCACAAGUGAAUCACAUAUGAAAUAUGAAUUACAUGUGAUUCACAUAUAAAUCACAUGUGAUUCACAAGUGAAUCACAUAUGAAAUAUGAAUUACAUGUGAUUCACAUAUAAAUCACAUGUGAUUCACAUGCAAAUCACAAGUGAAUCACAUAUGAAUUACAUGUGAUUCACAUAUAAAUCACAUGUGAUUCACAUACGAAACACAUGUAAUUCACAAGUGAAUCACAUAUGAAAUAUGAGUUACAUGUGAUUCACAUAUUGUGAUUAGAUACGUAUAAUCACAUAUUCAAUCGAAACCGCAAAAACAAAUAUUUUGAUUAGAUACGUAUAAUCACAUAUGAUUAUAUACACAAGAACUACUAUUUAAUCGAGAACACAAAGAUAAAUAUUGUCCACAUAUAUCAUAUGUGAUUAAAUGCAUAUAAUCACAAGUGAUUAUAUGUAUCUAAUCACAUAGAAUUUAUGCGAAAAAUAUUUAUUUUCGUGUUCUCGAUUCAAUUAUUGUUCUUGUGCGCUUAAUUACAUGAGAUUAUAUGUAUCUAAUUAGAUAUGAUUUACAUGGACAAUAUUCAUUUUUACAUUCUUGUUUAAUAGCUAUUCUUGUACAUUUAGUCACAUAUGAUUUCUGUACAAGAUUCAUUUUCGCGUUUUUGAUUAAAUAGUUUUUCUUUUCCACAUUAAUCAUAUGUGAUUAAUACAUACAAUCACAUAUGAUUAAAUACAUAAAAAAAAUAUUGACUCAUGAAUAUUAUCAAUAUAAAUCAUAUGUGAUUUGAUACAUAUAAUCACAUGUGAUUAAGUACAUGAGUACAACUAUUGAAUUGAAAAGAAAUAAUGAAUCUUGUCCACAUAAAUCAUAUGUGAUUAAAUACAUAUAAUCACAUGUGAUUAAACAUAUUAGAACAAUUAUUGAAUCGACGCAAGAAUAAAUAUUUUUCAUACGAAUCAUAUGUGAUUAGAUAUAUAUAUAUAUAUAUAUAUAUAUAUAUAUAUAUAUAUAUAUAUAUAUAUAUAUAAUCAUAUGUGACUAAAUACACAAGAACAAAUAUUGAAUCAACAUGUGAAAACAAAUAUUGUCCAGGUAAAUCAUAUGUGAUUAUAUACAUAUAAUCACAUAUGAUUUAAUACACAU
Lactuca sativa (garden lettuce) is the source of this 3192-nucleotide non-coding RNA. The record is from RefSeq and is a predicted model, not a curated record. NCBI's taxonomy places the organism in Eukaryota, Viridiplantae, Streptophyta, Magnoliopsida, Asterales, Asteraceae.